AGUUGUAAUCUAUAGAGGCGUUUUCUGUGCUGGACCGUGUCCAAGUUCCUUGGAACAGGAUAUCAAAGAGGGUGACAAUCCCGUAUUUGACACGACGACCAGUGCUCUGUGAUACGCUCUCGACGAGUCGAGUUGUUUGGGAAUGCAGCUCUAAAUGGGUGGUAAAUUCCAUCUAAAGCUAAAUAUUGGCGAGAGACCGAUAGCGAACAAGUACCGUGAGGGAAAGAUGAAAAGCACUUUGAAAAGAGAGUGAAACAGUAUGUGAAAUUGUUGAAAGGGAAACGAUUGAAGUCAGUCGUGUCUUGAGGGGUUCACUUGUUUUCUAGCAAGGUAUUCCCUUCUUGAUGGGUCAACAUCAGUUAAAUCCGGUGGAUAAGAGCGGGAAGAACGUAGCUCCCUCGGGAGUGUUAUAGCUUUCUGUUGCAUACA
RNAcentral lists this ribosomal RNA (429 nucleotides) under Carcinomyces cf. arundinariae SU11.4.1. RNAcentral describes it as "eukaryotic LSU rRNA". It matches the Rfam family "Eukaryotic large subunit ribosomal RNA", at positions 141 to 575 of the family's 3401-position model. The record is from RNAcentral. Lineage: Eukaryota; Fungi; Basidiomycota; Tremellomycetes; Tremellales; Carcinomycetaceae.